GCUCUUCGGGGUUGUGUUUUCUUUCCAAAAAACUUGGCAACGCAGCAGCCAAUGUCACAGCGUAAAAGCGUCUCCGUUUGACUUCCAAGACUUUCUACAGUUAAACAACAAUGGUUACUCGUCGAGUUUGUUGUGUUGAUAAGUGUAAAAAUACAAAUAGUGGAUGUGUAAAGCUAUUUGCGUUACCUAAAGAUAGUUUACGACGCCAACAAUGGUUAGGUAAAUUGAAAUUAAGGAAGUUGAGGUGUAACACCAAAAUAGAAAACGUUCGUGUGUGUUCAAUUCAUUUUGUAACAGGAAAACCAGCGUUACCUUAUUAUCCAUCCAAUCACAUAGAUUGGGUUCCAACAUGUUUUUUGGACGGCAUGCGUGAGAAACUUGGUGAUAAAUUGUAAACUUGUUGAUAAAAGUAAUAAUGAAUCAAUCGAGUAACAACAAUACAAUGUAUAACGCUGUUAA
Long non-coding RNA from Daphnia magna, 459 nucleotides. RefSeq lists it as uncharacterized. The transcript is spliced from 2 exons. NCBI's taxonomy places the organism in Eukaryota, Metazoa, Arthropoda, Branchiopoda, Diplostraca, Daphniidae. The record is from RefSeq and is a predicted model, not a curated record.